Molecule: RNA transcript, 2236 nt
Organism: Chrysemys picta bellii (western painted turtle)
Lineage: Eukaryota; Metazoa; Chordata; Testudines; Emydidae
Gene: COPZ2
Gene name: COPI coat complex subunit zeta 2
Source: RefSeq, a predicted model, not a curated record
UGCCCCCCCCCUCCCCGCGGUGCAUGGGGCGGAGCGGCCCGGCCGAGCGCUCCGUGCAGCGGGAUGCAGCGGGCCGAGGCCCGGCCACGUCAGCACCCCGAAGGGGCUGCCCUGGGGGGCGGAAGCGGCGGGGACCGGGCAGCUGUAGCAGCCGCGGGAGCCAUGGACCCCACGAGGCUGCUGUUUCAGGAGCCUUCCCUCUACACAGUCAAGGCCAUAUUCAUCUUGGACAAUGAUGGACAGCGACUCUUAGCCAAGUACUACGACGACACCUUUCCAUCCACGAAAGAACAGAAGACCUUUGAGAGGAGUGUUUUCGAUAAAACCCACAAAACUGACAGUGAGAUCGCCUUUCUGGAGGGGCUGACCAUUGUCUAUAAAAGCAGCAUCGACCUCUUUUUCUACGUGGUGGGGAGUUCCCAGGAAAAUGAGCUGAUGCUAGUGGCAGUUCUCACCUGUCUCUUCGACUCCCUCAGUCACAUGUUACGGAAGAAUGUAGAGAAGCGCUCCCUGCUGGACAACCUGGACGGGGUGUUCCUCGUGGUGGAUGAGAUCGUCGACGGGGGGGUGAUUCUGGAGAGCGAUCCUCAGCAAGUGAUCCAGAAGGUGAACUUCAGGACGGUCUCGGAGCCUGCAGCAUACGGGUUUGUUCUCUUUGAUUACAUCGCCAGUAACUCAGAGCAAAGUGAAUCCGUGCCUGCCAGCGGCGGCAAAUAGGCAGCGGCCAGCUGGGAAGCAGGUGGACGAUAGCCCUCUGUCUGAGCAAAGCGUUGCCCAGGUUCUGCAAUCUGCCAAAGAGCAAAUUAAAUGGUCCUUAUUAAAGUGAACGUCCCAGAGGAGAGCGCCUGGAUCCUCCCGAUUGGAUGGGUCUGAACUGUGAUGGCAAAUGAUUCCUCGCCUUAUUCGAUUAGCCGUUUGCAAAUUGGCAUGAAAAGUCUGAUAAAAGCUUUUGGGUAGGAUGCAAGAUGGCUGACAUUGGCCGCGCCUCCUGGGGGAACGCCAGCCUUCCACGGACACGGGUUUUAACCCGGUCUCGGUACCAUGAAAUUCUCUGCAUGCUAAAGGGGAGGGUGGGUUAUUAACUGGUUAACAGACCAAAUUCUGCUCACUAUAAAUGAAGAGUGACGUCGAUGGGGUUAUUUCAGAUUGACAAUGGUGUAACAGAGAGCAGAACCUGGCCCAAGAUCCAUAAAGAACUCCAGAACUAUUACUGUUAUUUAAGGACUGAAUAGGCGGAUUGAUCAUAUGUAGUUACACCAACUAAAGCGCUGCGUGAGACUCAAUUAGAAUUUUGUUUGGUACUAGCCGAGCCAGAACAUACCCUAGUUGAAUCUUCAGUUUCACCAGUAAAGAGCUUGGCUCCUUCUUUUGCAGGGCUGUCACUAGUGCCGGCACACUUGUUGAUCAACGCAAUGCCUGAGACUUUCAAAACCAUAGGAAGGGAUUUGCAUGCCCUUUUCUCAUUCAAACAAAUGGGGCUUGGGCAUCCAGGUCGCCCUAGGCUCUUUAGAAUAUUUCAGUCACUUCCAAAAUCUCUUCCGCUGUCUCCCAAGGCAACCUUUGGUCCCUUUUGAGGAUGGCCAUGCCUGUGCAGAGGGUCGGCGUGAAGUAAGUGCCACUGUCACAUCCUCCCACCUGCAGGGUGGGGAUGAGUGCACAGGAAUCAUUGUCACCCUGUCAGAGUAAGAUUCAAAACUUCCCAAUGAUGACCACUAAUAACCCCCCCAAACUCUUACAAGGUGUUUUUCAUCGGUAGAUCUCAAAGCACUUUACAAAGGAGAUCAGGUCAUUAUACAGAUGGGGAAACUGAGGCACAGAGCGGGGGGAGUGACUUCCCCAAGGUCAUCUAGUUGGCCAGUGGCAGAGCUAGGAAUAGAACCCAGGUCUCCCGAGUCCCAAUCCAGCAUUCCAGCCACUAGGCAGCACUGCCUCCCUCAUGCAGCUUUGGCGGUCGUUAAUUUUGUAAAAACAAUCCUGCUGCAAAUAGCUGUCGGCUCAAACAUCACUAAAGGACCCGGCUAUGGUAAAAAUCCUAUUUUCAGAAUGAUCAUGUCCUUCCCUUUAACACCCCAGAUUAUCAAUAGCAAGAAAAAAAAAUAAAAAUUGAAUGAAGGAGAAUUGGCUAGCUGUGUGAUACUUACUUCAGCGAGGGCUUGGUACAUUUCAAUCCAUUUCUGUAAACUGGGCAUGCCCAGCGUCUUUUAUGAUCAACAAAUAAAGUUUUAUAGCACAUGGA